UUGCCUUCCUGGAAAAGCGAGCUACAGCUGCCAUUUCUAGAGGAGAAGCGAGCGUGGUCUGUGAUUCAGCUCCCGAUUUACUCUGCAUUGAUAC
Long non-coding RNA from Cucurbita maxima (winter squash), 94 nucleotides. RefSeq lists it as uncharacterized. The record is from RefSeq and is a predicted model, not a curated record. The transcript has 3 exons. NCBI's taxonomy places the organism in Eukaryota, Viridiplantae, Streptophyta, Magnoliopsida, Cucurbitales, Cucurbitaceae.